CGAACGGUAACAGGAAGCAGCUUGCUGCUUUGCUGACGAGUGGCGGACGGGUGAGUAAUGUCUGGGAAACUGCCUGAUGGAGGGGGAUAACUACUGGAAACGGUGGCUAAUACCGCAUAACGUCGCAAGACCAAAGAGGGGGACCUUCGGGCCUCUUGCCAUCAGAUGUGCCCAGAUGGGAUUAGCUUGUUGGUGAGGUAACGGCUCACCAAGGCGACGAUCCCUAGCUGGUCUGAGAGGAUGACCAGCCACACUGGAACUGAGACACGGUCCAGACUCCUACGGGAGGCAGCAGUGGGGAAUAUUGCACAAUGGGCGCAAGCCUGAUGCAGCCAUGC
This 338-nucleotide ribosomal RNA is filed under the name Salmonella enterica subsp. enterica serovar Bareilly. RNAcentral's name for it is "bacterial SSU rRNA". It matches the Rfam family "Bacterial small subunit ribosomal RNA", at positions 63 to 397 of the family's 1533-position model. Lineage: Bacteria; Pseudomonadati; Pseudomonadota; Gammaproteobacteria; Enterobacterales; Enterobacteriaceae. The record is from RNAcentral.